RNAcentral lists this ribosomal RNA (1446 nucleotides) under Lactiplantibacillus plantarum. Its description in RNAcentral is "bacterial SSU rRNA". It matches the Rfam family "Bacterial small subunit ribosomal RNA". The record is from RNAcentral. Lineage: Bacteria; Bacillati; Bacillota; Bacilli; Lactobacillales; Lactobacillaceae.
UAUACAUGCAAGUCGAACGAACUCUGGUAUUGAUUGGUGCUUGCAUCAUGAUUUACAUUUGAGUGAGUGGCGAACUGGUGAGUAACACGUGGGAAACCUGCCCAGAAGCGGGGGAUAACACCUGGAAACAGAUGCUAAUACCGCAUAACAACUUGGACCGCAUGGUCCGAGCUUGAAAGAUGGCUUCGGCUAUCACUUUUGGAUGGUCCCGCGGCGUAUUAGCUAGAUGGUGGGGUAACGGCUCACCAUGGCAAUGAUACGUAGCCGACCUGAGAGGGUAAUCGGCCACAUUGGGACUGAGACACGGCCCAAACUCCUACGGGAGGCAGCAGUAGGGAAUCUUCCACAAUGGACGAAAGUCUGAUGGAGCAACGCCGCGUGAGUGAAGAAGGGUUUCGGCUCGUAAAACUCUGUUGUUAAAGAAGAACAUAUCUGAGAGUAACUGUUCAGGUAUUGACGGUAUUUAACCAGAAAGCCACGGCUAACUACGUGCCAGCAGCCGCGGUAAUACGUAGGUGGCAAGCGUUGUCCGGAUUUAUUGGGCGUAAAGCGAGCGCAGGCGGUUUUUUAAGUCUGAUGUGAAAGCCUUCGGCUCAACCGAAGAAGUGCAUCGGAAACUGGGAAACUUGAGUGCAGAAGAGGACAGUGGAACUCCAUGUGUAGCGGUGAAAUGCGUAGAUAUAUGGAAGAACACCAGUGGCGAAGGCGGCUGUCUGGUCUGUAACUGACGCUGAGGCUCGAAAGUAUGGGUAGCAAACAGGAUUAGAUACCCUGGUAGUCCAUACCGUAAACGAUGAAUGCUAAGUGUUGGAGGGUUUCCGCCCUUCAGUGCUGCAGCUAACGCAUUAAGCAUUCCGCCUGGGGAGUACGGCCGCAAGGCUGAAACUCAAAGGAAUUGACGGGGGCCCGCACAAGCGGUGGAGCAUGUGGUUUAAUUCGAAGCUACGCGAAGAACCUUACCAGGUCUUGACAUACUAUGCAAAUCUAAGAGAUUAGACGUUCCCUUCGGGGACAUGGAUACAGGUGGUGCAUGGUUGUCGUCAGCUCGUGUCGUGAGAUGUUGGGUUAAGUCCCGCAACGAGCGCAACCCUUAUUAUCAGUUGCCAGCAUUAAGUUGGGCACUCUGGUGAGACUGCCGGUGACAAACCGGAGGAAGGUGGGGAUGACGUCAAAUCAUCAUGCCCCUUAUGACCUGGGCUACACACGUGCUACAAUGGAUGGUACAACGAGUUGCGAACUCGCGAGAGUAAGCUAAUCUCUUAAAGCCAUUCUCAGUUCGGAUUGUAGGCUGCAACUCGCCUACAUGAAGUCGGAAUCGCUAGUAAUCGCGGAUCAGCAUGCCGCGGUGAAUACGUUCCCGGGCCUUGUACACACCGCCCGUCACACCAUGAGAGUUUGUAACACCCAAAGUCGGUGGGGUAACCUUUUAGGAACCAGCCGCCUAAG